Vicia faba (fava bean) is the source of this 210-nucleotide non-coding RNA. NCBI's taxonomy places the organism in Eukaryota, Viridiplantae, Streptophyta, Magnoliopsida, Fabales, Fabaceae. The record is from the annotation of a GenBank genome assembly.
AUGGAAGGUGGUGUUUUGAGAAAACAAUUAGGUCAGAACUAUGCAAUCUUAAGGUUGAUGAAGAUAGGGCCUCAAGGUGGUUUAGCAACAUCUCUUGCAACUGAGGUAGGAGGAGUGACGUUGAGAUUUACUUAUGAUGUAGACAUUGAUGCAGAAGGGAAUGAUUAUUUCACUUGUAGCAACACCACAUACCAGAGAAGGUUGUUGUAA